Cyprinus carpio (common carp) is the source of this 410-nucleotide long non-coding RNA. RefSeq lists it as uncharacterized. The record is from RefSeq and is a predicted model, not a curated record. NCBI's taxonomy places the organism in Eukaryota, Metazoa, Chordata, Actinopteri, Cypriniformes, Cyprinidae.
UCAACUUUUUCUGUGUAUGGAUUUUGUGGAUAAGCACUAAUGUACAGAAUAAUACAAGUUAAUUUAAAGUAUAUUAUUGUUUAUUUUAUUUGAAUUAUUAUUAUUAUUAUUUAUUUAUUCUUUUGCCAACCCCCAUAAUCCCAUGCCCAAACAUAAUGCAACGCAGUGACAUCGCGCUAUUGCGCCAUUUUGCGACUACUUGGCGGUCUUUUUUGAAUCGGCAUCAAUUUAUCAGGCGGCCUGCAGUGCACUUACAGCUCGAACUGUGAAGCCAUAUUGUUGUAAGGUUGAUGACAAAUGAGGACAUGGCCUGUUUCAGUAUGAAGUGGGGGAAGGGGAAGCUUGCCUUCACCAAGAUCAAUCUGUACACUGUUGUCACAGAGAGUGUCCAGAAAACAUCAAAAGAGAUG